This 249-nucleotide ribosomal RNA is filed under the name uncultured Tremellomycetes. Its description in RNAcentral is "partial small subunit ribosomal RNA". It matches the Rfam family "Eukaryotic small subunit ribosomal RNA", at positions 587 to 842 of the family's 1831-position model. Lineage: Eukaryota; Fungi; Basidiomycota; Tremellomycetes. The record is from RNAcentral.
AGCUCCAGUAGCGUAUAUUAAAGUUGUUGCAGUUAAAAAGCUCGUAGUUGAACUUCAGGCCUGGCGGGAUGGUCCGCCUCACGGUGUGUACUGUCCGGCUGGGCCUUACCUCUUGGUGAGCCCGUAUGCCGUUUACUCGGUGUGCGGUGGAACCAGGAAUUUUACUUUGAAAAAAUUAGAGUGUUCAAAGCAGGCAUAUGCCCGAAUACAUUAGCAUGGAAUAAUAGAAUAGGACGUGCGGUUCUAUUU